UAAACUUAGAAUUCUGAAAAAAGUAUUGCGAGAUGUAAACUUAGUAUUCUGUAAAAAAAAAAAAUACUGUGAGAUGUAAACUUAGUAUUCUGUGAAAACAGUUAGUAUUGCGAGAUGUAAACUUAGUAUUCUGUAAAAAAAAAAAAAAAAAAAAAAAAGUACUGUGAGAUGUAAACUUAGUAUUCUGUGAAAACAUUAUUGCAAGAAAAAAGUACUGCGAGAUGUAAACUUAGUAUUCUGUGAAAAAAGUUAGUAUUGCAAGAAAAAAGUACUGCGAGAUGUAAACUUAGAAUUCUGAAAAAAGUAUUGCGAGAUGUAAACUUAGUAUUCUGUGAAAAAAGUUAGUAUUGCAAGAUGUAAACUUAGAAUUCUGAAAAAAAAAAUAUUGCGAGACGUAAACUUAGUAUUCUGUAAAAAAAAAAAAAAAAAAAAAAGUACUGUGAGAUGUAAACUUAGAAUUCUGAAAAAAGUAUUGCGAGAUGUAAACUUAGUAUUCUGUAAAAAAAAAAAAAAAAAUACUGUGAGAUGUAAACUUAGAAUCCUGAAAAAAGUAUUGCGAAAUGUAAACUUAGAAUUCUGUAAAAAAAAAAAAAAAAAAAAAAAAAAAAAGUACUGCGAGAUGUAAACUUAGUAUUCUGUAAAAAAAAAAAAAAAAAGUAUUGUGAGGUGUAAACGGAGUUCUGCGAAAAAAGUCAGUUUUGCAAGAUGUAAACUUUUGAGAAAAAAGUCACAAUUGCGAGAUGUAAAUUUAAAGUUCUGAGAAAAAAGUCAAUAUUGCGAGAUGUAAUCUUAGUAUUCUGUAAAAAAGUUAGUAUUGUGAGAUGUAAAUUAAGAAUUCUGAGGAAAAAAGCCAGUAUUAUAAGAUGUAAACUUAGAAUUCUGAAAAAAAGUAUUUCGAGAUGUAAACUUAGUGUUCUGUUAAAAAAAAAAAGUUUGUAUUGUGAGAUGUAAACUUGGACUUCUGAGAAAAAAGUCAGUAUUGCAAGAUGUAAACUUAGAAUUCUGAAAAAAGUAUUGCAAGAUGCAAGCUUAGUACUUAGUACAAAAAAAAAGUAUUGUGAGAUGUAAACUUAAAGAAAAAAGUCAGUAUUGCAAGGUGUAAACUUAGAAAUCUGAGAAAAAUGUCAGGAUUGUGAGAUGUCAAUUUAAAAUUGCACAGUGUAAUCUUGCAAUUAUGAUAUCUAAUUUGCAAACUUGUAAUUGUGGGUAAAAAAGUUGCAGUUACUUUUUAUGUUUUUAUUCUGUGGCACAAACAAGCU
Molecule: long non-coding RNA, 1259 nt
Organism: Labeo rohita (rohu)
Lineage: Eukaryota; Metazoa; Chordata; Actinopteri; Cypriniformes; Cyprinidae
Exons: 3
Source: RefSeq, a predicted model, not a curated record